This 506-nucleotide ribosomal RNA is filed under the name uncultured bacterium. RNAcentral's name for it is "partial 16S ribosomal RNA". It matches the Rfam family "Bacterial small subunit ribosomal RNA", at positions 29 to 523 of the family's 1533-position model. The record is from RNAcentral.
AGUGAACGCUGGCGGUAGGCCUAACACAUGCAAGUCGAACGGCAGCACAGAGGAGCUUGCUCCUUGGGUGGCGAGUGGCGGACGGGUGAGGAAUACAUCGGAAUCUACUCUGUCGUGGGGGAUAACGUAGGGAAACGUACGCUAAUACCGCAUACGACCUACGGGUGAAAGCAGGGGAUCCUCGGACCUUGCGCGAUUGAAUGAGUCGAUGUCGGAUUAGCUAGUUGGCGGGGUAAAGGCCCACCAAGGCGACGAUCCGUAGCUGGUCUGAGAGGAUGAUCAGCCACACUGGAACGGAGACACGGUCCAGGCUCCUACGGGAGGCAGCAGUGGGGAAUAUUGGACAAUGGGCGCAAGCCUGAUCCAGCCAUACCGCGUGGGUGAAGAAGGCCUUCGGGUUGUAAAGCCCUUUUGUUGGGAAAGAAAUCCAUCUGGUUAAUACCCGGGUGGGAUGACGGUACCCAAAGAAUAAGCACCGGCUAACUUCGUGCCAGCCGCCGCCGUAA